CACUUACAUGUAGAGCUCCCUUCAAUCCAAUCAAUAGAGAAAGACGAUGACGGGCUCAUCUCCCAGGUCAUGCAAACCCAUGCAAGUGCAAGCCUAUGACAUUGCCAUGCACUCCCGAGGUAUCCAUGAACCGGGAGCUGCAUCCUACCACUUCCUCUCCUGAAUUGGAUCGACAGGGAGCUCGUCUUCCUCUUAUC
Non-coding RNA from Oryza brachyantha (malo sina), 197 nucleotides. NCBI's taxonomy places the organism in Eukaryota, Viridiplantae, Streptophyta, Magnoliopsida, Poales, Poaceae. The record is from Rfam.